GCAGCUAUAGUUUAGUGACAAAAUAUUUGCUUCCCAAGCAAAAGAUGGGGGUUUGAUUCCCCUUGGCUGCUCCA
RNAcentral lists this transfer RNA (74 nucleotides) under Candidatus Mycoplasma haematolamae str. Purdue. Its description in RNAcentral is "tRNA-Gly (CCC) (tRNA-Gly-CCC-1-1)". It matches the Rfam family "tRNA". Rfam says of the family: Transfer RNA (tRNA) molecules are approximately 80 nucleotides in length. Lineage: Bacteria; Bacillati; Mycoplasmatota; Mollicutes; Mycoplasmatales; Mycoplasmataceae. The record is from RNAcentral.